RNAcentral lists this transfer RNA (64 nucleotides) under Stegobium paniceum (drugstore beetle). RNAcentral's name for it is "tRNA-Leu". It matches the Rfam family "tRNA". From Rfam's summary of the family: Transfer RNA (tRNA) molecules are approximately 80 nucleotides in length. Their secondary structure includes four short double-helical elements and three loops (D, anti-codon, and T loops). The record is from RNAcentral. Lineage: Eukaryota; Metazoa; Arthropoda; Insecta; Coleoptera; Ptinidae.
UUUAAUAUGGCAGAUUAGUGCAAUGGAUUUAAAUCCCAUAUAUAAAGUUUAUCUUUUAUUAAAA